This 496-nucleotide ribosomal RNA is filed under the name uncultured bacterium. Its description in RNAcentral is "partial 16S ribosomal RNA". It matches the Rfam family "Bacterial small subunit ribosomal RNA", at positions 29 to 507 of the family's 1533-position model. The record is from RNAcentral.
AUGAACGCUGGCGGCGUGCCUAAUACAUGCAAGUCGAGCGAACAGAUGAGGAGCUUGCUCCUCUGACGUUAGCGGCGGACGGGUGAGUAACACGUGGAUAACCUACCUAUAAGACUGGGAUAACUUCGGGAAACCGGAGCUAAUACCGGAUAAUAUAUUGAACCGCAUGGUUCAAUAGUGAAAGACGGUUUUGCUGUCACUUAAAGAUGGAUCCGCGCCGCAUUAGCUAGUUGGUAAGGUAACGGCUUACCAAGGCAACGAUGCGUAGCCGACCUGAGAGGGUGAUCGGCCACACUGGAACUGAGACACGGUCCAGACUCCUACGGGAGGCAGCAGUAGGGAAUCUUCCGCAAUGGGCGAAAGCCUGACGGAGCAACGCCGCGUGAGUGAUGAAGGUCUUCGGAUCGUAAAACUCUGUUAUUAGGGAAGAACAAAUGUGUAAGUAACUAUGCACGUCUUGACGGUACCUAAUCAGAAAGCCACGGCUAACUACGUG